This 702-nucleotide ribosomal RNA is filed under the name Pseudoxanthomonas mexicana. Its description in RNAcentral is "bacterial SSU rRNA". It matches the Rfam family "Bacterial small subunit ribosomal RNA", at positions 66 to 757 of the family's 1533-position model. The record is from RNAcentral. Lineage: Bacteria; Pseudomonadati; Pseudomonadota; Gammaproteobacteria; Lysobacterales; Lysobacteraceae.
ACGGCAGCACAGGAGAGCUUGCUCUCUGGGUGGCGAGUGGCGGACGGGUGAGGAAUACAUCGGAAUCUACCUUUUCGUGGGGGAUAACGUAGGGAAACUUACGCUAAUACCGCAUACGACCUACGGGUGAAAGUGGGGGACCGCAAGGCCUCACGCGAUUAGAUGAGCCGAUGUCCGAUUAGCUAGUUGGCGGGGUAAUGGCCCACCAAGGCGACGAUCGGUAGCUGGUCUGAGAGGAUGAUCAGCCACACUGGAACUGAGACACGGUCCAGACUCCUACGGGAGGCAGCAGUGGGGAAUAUUGGACAAUGGGCGCAAGCCUGAUCCAGCCAUACCGCGUGGGUGAAGAAGGCCUUCGGGUUGUAAAGCCCUUUUGUUGGGAAAGAAAUCCUGUCGAUUAAUACUCGGUGGGGAUGACGGUACCCAAAGAAUAAGCACCGGCUAACUUCGUGCCAGCAGCCGCGGUAAUACGAAGGGUGCAAGCGUUACUCGGAAUUACUGGGCGUAAAGCGUGCGUAGGUGGUGGUUUAAGUCUGCUGUGAAAGCCCUGGGCUCAACCUGGGAAUUGCUGUGGAUACUGGAUCACUAGAGUGUGGUAUAGGGAUGCGGAAUUUCUGGUGUAGCAGUGAAAUGCGUAGAGAUCAGAAUGAACAUCCGUGGUGAAUGCUGUAUCCUGGGCCAACACUGACACUGAGGCUCGUA